GCGGGUAUGGUUUAGUGGUAGAAUGACACACUUCCAAUGUGUAGACCCGAGUUCGAUUCUCGGUACCCGCACCA
RNAcentral lists this transfer RNA (74 nucleotides) under Candidatus Tayloriibacteriota bacterium. RNAcentral's name for it is "tRNA-Gly". It matches the Rfam family "tRNA". Rfam says of the family: Transfer RNA (tRNA) molecules are approximately 80 nucleotides in length. Their secondary structure includes four short double-helical elements and three loops (D, anti-codon, and T loops). The record is from RNAcentral. RNAcentral also lists the same sequence under 1 other name. Lineage: Bacteria; Candidatus Tayloriibacteriota.